AUACGGAGGGUUCAAGCGUUAUCCGGAUUCAUUGGGUUUAAAGGGUCCGCAGGCGGGAAAAUAAGUCAGUGGUGAAAGCCUACAGCUCAACUGUAGAACUGCCAUUGAUACUGUUUUUCUUGAGUAUAGAUGAAGUGGGCGGAAUAUAUCAUGUAGCGGUGAAAUGCAUAGAUAUGAUAUAGAACACCGAUUGCGAAGGUAGCUCACUAAACUAUUACUGACGCUCAGGGACGAAAGCGUGGGGAGCGAACAGGAUUAGAAACCCUAGUAGUCC
Molecule: ribosomal RNA, 274 nt
Filed under: uncultured bacterium
Lineage: Bacteria
Description: partial 16S ribosomal RNA
Rfam family: Bacterial small subunit ribosomal RNA
Source: RNAcentral